UUGGCAACGCCGGGCGCGGCGGCCCGCGGGGACUGCAAUUCCCACCCGCCUACCCCCCACCUCCCACCUCCCACCCCCCACCCCCGGGGCCGGGCACCUGCCCUGGAGCGCCCUGGCGCUGCUCUUGCUGCUGCUGCUGCUGCUCCUGCUGCUGCUGCUCCUGCUCGCGGAUGGCUAGGCUGCCCGAGGCCGCGCACACUCCGCGCGUGGCCCGGGCCGGGGUGCCGAGACUACCGAGGGCGCCCACUCCACCCCUUGAUGGACCAAGACUCGCCUGCAGUGUGGGAUGGGGGCUCCCCGAGGCCUCCUGCCUGGAAAAGCAAAGGUGGUUUCUCCGUGGACAGUUUGGUUAGGCAGUAGCCCCACAGCUGGAUUCAAGACCCUUACAGCCUGGAGUCAUUUCGUGUACCACUUGGUUUCCCCAGAACUCUGCAGCACGUGCGCCAUGUGUAGCAGGAACUUCACGUUUAUCAAUAACAAAGCAUCAUAGUCAACAAUGACUCAAAACAAAGUGUUUUAGAAAUUUAUUCAUUAUUUAUUCCCUGCUACUUCCAAAGGAGGAUCUGAGAUAACUUAUAGUAAAACACUUGUAGAAAAUAUCAUUGUUAGAUCAGAAAUAUUUUUGUAGUGCAAAAAGCAAAUAUGCCCCCAGUGUAAGCCUAUGUAUUAAGAUUGAGCUUUAUUUAACAUUUAACCUGCACUUUAUGAAAGCCAUGCAGAAAGGAAAAUGACUUUUAUGAUUAUUGUUAUUUGAGUUUAAAAGUACACAACCACUUCUUUUAAUGGAAACACAUUUUCCUGGUACCAAUUCCAAAAUACGUUUAUUCUUUUCUAAAGAGCCUAGAAUAAUACAGAUGACAGUGUACCUCCCCCACUUUUCUUUUCUUUUCUUUCUUUUCUUUUUUUUUUUUUUUUUUUUUUUACCAAAUACAGCAAGAGUCUUGAUGUGAUUGUUUCUUGUGGUCACCUUUGAUCAAUGCUGAGGGGGUGACACUAGAACACAUGUCAUCAAAGAGAGGGCCAAGCAAUUGAUACCCCAUUUCUUAGCUCUCUAGUGAUGCUACCCAGUAACAAACUUAGAACUUCCAUACUGGUAGGAAUAAGUGGACAUCCUCAUAAGUGCCCUUAAUAAUGGUCCCCUCCACAGAGCUUCUGUUGGGUGCUGGAUAGCAAUCAAUUUAAGAGGGAGCUGAAGCCUGGAGUGCAUAAUAGUCUGUGUUGCAGAUGAAAGAAGAAGCCAUAUGCCUCAUAUCACAAGCGUGAAGCCAACAAGGUUGAGAUUCUAUUUUAAAAGUCUACUUUUGGGGGAUCCCCGGGUGGCUCAGUGGUUUAGCGCCUGCCUCCGGCCCAGGUCAUGAUCCUGGAGUCCCAGGAUCAAGUCCCAAGAUCAAGUCCCACAUCGGGCUCCCUGCGUGGAGUCUGCUUCUCCCUCUGCCUUUGUCUCUGCCUCUCUCUCUCUCUCUCAUGAAUAAAUAAAUAAAGUCUUUUUUAAAAAAGCCUACUUUUUUAUACCAAUGGAAGAAAACAUCAGAUUAGUAAAGGCUUUAUUUGGAAAAUAUUUUUUGUCUCAAUUCGAUUCUUUUAGGAUACUAUCACUAGGCAAUUAUUUGGGAAGAAAAGAUAAAAUCAAAUUUUUCUUUUGUGGUACACAAUAAAGUAUAUUGCAGAAGUUGAAAAAACAAUAAACUUGGAUCAUGAUGGACACUCUUGCUUUAUCUCACCCUCUGCCAGUUAGUGGUUUCUUGUGAUUUUACAGAAGUCUUUAAUCACCCUGAACUUCACUUUUAUUCCAUCUACAUAAUGAAAAACAUGGACUAGAUCAGCUCUAAGCAAUCUCUUGCACUUCUGACGUUCUUUAAUGCUGGUUGUUUCCUUUGUUUGCUUCUUUUAACAUACUGGUUGUAGUUGAGAUUGAGCAAAUCAUGCCCUUUAUUUCAAUUCUUGGUUCACAGUUCAGCUUGGGUCAAUUCUUGCAUACAAUUUAUCCUGCAGGGUUGCAGGAAGAACUAGUGCACUUAACCUCCAGGAAAUAAGCAAGGGGUUUCUCUAUAGUUGCACUUUUAAUAAAUUUAAACCUACCUAAAACUGACAAAAUCUUCCUAACUCCAACCCCCCACCCCUACCCCAGGCUCUCAGAGCUCAUCCCUGCUCUUGUUUAUGCUCUUUCUCCUCUCACUUUUGGAGGUGUUGAUAUUGUUGCAAUUAUCACAUUAUAUUAAACUUAUUUGUCUGCCUCCUGUAUAAGCUUGUAAGCUUCCUGAAUAGAGGGAGGUUUAUUUGGCUUUCCUCCACAUAGGAACGGACACAUUCUAGGCCCUCUAUAAAAGUUUGUUGAACCAAACUGCUAAUAAGUGAAAGAAAGAAAAAAAGAAAGGAGGAAAGGAGGAGAGGAUUGGCUGCUUUAUAUCUGAUGUCAUAAUCCUGUUGAGGCAAGAGACAGCAAAUUUAACAGCCAGUUGGUGGUUCUUAUGGCAUCAUAAUUCCACCACUAGCUAGGAGCCAUUUGUUCUAGAGAAGUGUCAUGUGAUAAAAGUCUGGACGGAUUAGGAAAAGUCCAUAAUUUGGCCCACUCUGAAUUUUACCUGCAUCAGUCAACUGGAAAGAUUUUUAGUUA
This 2614-nucleotide long non-coding RNA is filed under the name Canis lupus familiaris (dog). RNAcentral's name for it is "lncRNA (ENSCAFG00000054017.1)". Lineage: Eukaryota; Metazoa; Chordata; Mammalia; Carnivora; Canidae. The record is from RNAcentral.